This 468-nucleotide ribosomal RNA is filed under the name uncultured bacterium. RNAcentral's name for it is "partial 16S ribosomal RNA". It matches the Rfam family "Bacterial small subunit ribosomal RNA", at positions 28 to 507 of the family's 1533-position model. The record is from RNAcentral.
GACGAACGCUGGCGGCGUGCUUAACACAUGCAAGUCGAACGGAAAGGCCCUGCUUUCGUGGGGUGCUCGAGUGGCGAACGGGUGAGUAACACGUGAGUAACCUGCCCUUGACUUUGGGAUAACUUCAGGAAACUGGGGCUAAUACCGGAUAGGAGCUCCUGCUGCAUGGUGGGGGUUGGAAAGUUUCGGCGGUUGGGGAUGGACUCGCGGGCUAUCAGCUUGUUGGUGGGGUAGUGGCUUACCAAGGCUUUGACGGGUAGCCGGCCUGAGAGGGUGACCGGCCACAUUGGGACUGGGAUACGGCCCAGACUCCUAAGGGAGGCAGCAGUGGGGAAUAUUGCACAAUGGGCGGAAGCCUGAUGCAGCAACGCCGCGUGCGGGAUGACGGCCUUUGGGUUGUAAACCGCUUUCGCCUGUGACAAAACGUGAGUGACGGUAAUGGGUAAAGAAGCACCGGCUAACUACGUG